UUUUUCUUUUUCCUUUUUUUUGAUCGGUAAAUAAAUUUAUAUUAUAUUGAUCAAAAUUGAGUAAAACUACUCUGGACAUACCUGACAAACAAUCCAAGCAUUACAAUGAUCUAAUGAUCCAAAACAAGAGACGCAACACGAAUCAAAACAUUACAACUUCGGCUGAUCAAGAACACGAAGUACCGAACUGUUGACGGGUUUCAAAUCUUACGAGAGGAGAUGAAAAACUUGAAUCUUUCAAGAACAAUUCAUAACCAUUCUGGCCUAACUUCACAACUUCAAGGAACUUGAAACUUUGAAUUUGGAGAGAUUUUAACAAAAUCUGCGUUGUUGGAUUCGAAAUUACCAAUUGAUGAAGGUAAAAUCGAACAAAGAUUAAUGAAUUCACAUAUGCAAGGGGUUCCUUUGAGCUAAUCAUUAAGGCUACCUUCGAAUUCUGCUUUCCCGGUUGAAGAAUGUUGAGCAGCAUCAUGUGAAGAGGAAUUUUCAAAUUGCUUACCUUGUAAAUGGGCAGCACACAUUUUUGGCAGCAAGAGAAAAAUCCAUAUCAAUGCUGAAAAACCAAGAAACCCGUAUGGAAGAGGUUUAUAUGACUAGCAUCAUGCCAAGCAAGAUUUCGAACCCAAGCUGAAAACUUCCAGGCGGCCAGACUGUCGGUGGAAAACAAGGGCUGCAAGAAACAGACCCAAUAUGCUGCCAAGAAGAGACACUGUUUGAAAAAAUGAGUAAUGAUUCAC
This 737-nucleotide long non-coding RNA is filed under the name Olea europaea subsp. europaea. The record is from RNAcentral. Lineage: Eukaryota; Viridiplantae; Streptophyta; Magnoliopsida; Lamiales; Oleaceae.